This 253-nucleotide ribosomal RNA is filed under the name uncultured bacterium. Its description in RNAcentral is "partial 16S ribosomal RNA". It matches the Rfam family "Bacterial small subunit ribosomal RNA", at positions 524 to 776 of the family's 1533-position model. The record is from RNAcentral.
UACGUAGGGCGCAAGCGUUGUCCGGAAUUAUUGGGCGUAAAGGGCUCGUAGGUGGCCAACUAAGUCAGACGUGAAAUCCCUCAGCUUAACUGGGGAACUGCGUCUGAUACUGGAUGGCUUGAGUUUGGGAGAGGGACGCGGAAUUCCAGGUGUAGCGGUGAAAUGCGUAGAUAUCUGGAGGAACACCGGUGGCGAAGGCGGCGUCCUGGACCAACACUGACACUGAGGAGCGAAAGCCUGGGGAGCAAACGGG